AGGCAAAUCGACACCUGUUUUCUAGGGUUCCGCCGUACUCAUCGGAUCUGUCAUUCACUUGAUCUUUCAGGAAUUGAUCUAUUAUGUAUCCGUUUGCUCCAUGGAUCUCUACACCAUCAAAUCCUGUGAUUUCAAGCGAGUCUGAAGUCGUUAACGAUGGCUGGGAUUUCAUCGGAGCGUAGUCUACGAGGUGGAGACCAAUCUCCUCCGGCGAGGCCCGGUGUUAUUCCUUUGUCCGUAGAAGAUAAUGGAGCUUCACCAUUUGGUUGAAAUCCUAAUUUUGUCAUCAGACAUUUAAAAAAAAAAGUUAAAAGGGUGCCUUCUUCUUGCAUUUUGUUUAAUUUCUUCUUGCAUUUUGUUUAAUUUUGAUCUAUUAUUGCAUAAAUAUUUUACACUCUACUUUUUUCUUGCA
Non-coding RNA from Lactuca sativa (garden lettuce), 412 nucleotides. The record is from RefSeq and is a predicted model, not a curated record. NCBI's taxonomy places the organism in Eukaryota, Viridiplantae, Streptophyta, Magnoliopsida, Asterales, Asteraceae.